GGAGGCGUGGCCGAGCGGCUUAAGGCAACGGUUUGCUAAACCGUCGGGAUCUAAAAGUCCCACACAGGUUCGAAUCCUGUCGCCUCCG
Molecule: transfer RNA, 88 nt
Filed under: Candidatus Sungbacteria bacterium RIFCSPHIGHO2_01_FULL_54_26
Lineage: Bacteria; Candidatus Sungiibacteriota
Also listed under: 3 other names
Description: tRNA-Ser
Rfam family: tRNA
About the family: Transfer RNA (tRNA) molecules are approximately 80 nucleotides in length. Their secondary structure includes four short double-helical elements and three loops (D, anti-codon, and T loops).
Source: RNAcentral